RNAcentral lists this ribosomal RNA (514 nucleotides) under uncultured bacterium. RNAcentral's name for it is "partial 16S ribosomal RNA". It matches the Rfam family "Bacterial small subunit ribosomal RNA", at positions 29 to 523 of the family's 1533-position model. The record is from RNAcentral.
AUUGAACGCUGGCGGCAUGCCUAACACAUGCAAGUCGAACGGCAGCACAGUAAAGACUUCGGUCUUUAUGGGUGGCGAGUGGCGGACGGGUGAGUAACGCGUAAGAAUCUGUCCUGGAGGGUGGGAUAACCCGAGGAAACUCGGGCUAAUACCGCAUGAUAUCGAGGGAUCAAAAGCAGGGGACCCUUCGGGGCCUUGCGCUCUAGGAUGAGCCCACGUCGGAUUAGCUAGUUGGUGAGGUAAAGGCUCACCAAGGCGACGAUCGGUAGCUGGUCUGAGAGGAUGGUCAGCCACACUGGGACUGAGAUACGGCCCAGACUCCUACGGGAGGCAGCAGUCGAGAGGCUUCGGCAAUGGGGGCAACCCCGACCGAGCGACGCCGCGUGAGGGAUGACGCCCUUCGGGGUGUAAACCUCUUUUGUGAGGGAAGAACCACGGCAAGGUGAACAAUCUUGCCGUCUGACGGUACCUCACGAAUAAGCUCCGGCCAACUCCGUGCCAGCCGCCGCAGUAA